Molecule: transfer RNA, 77 nt
Filed under: Candidatus Peribacteria bacterium
Lineage: Bacteria; Candidatus Peregrinibacteriota; Candidatus Peribacteria
Description: tRNA-Arg
Rfam family: tRNA
About the family: Transfer RNA (tRNA) molecules are approximately 80 nucleotides in length. Their secondary structure includes four short double-helical elements and three loops (D, anti-codon, and T loops).
Source: RNAcentral
GCGCCCGUAGCUCAUUUGGAUAGAGUACUUGGCUUCGAACCAAGGGGUAGCAGGUUCAAAUCCUGCCGGGCGCACCA